Coturnix japonica (Japanese quail) is the source of this 7769-nucleotide non-coding RNA. The record is from RefSeq and is a predicted model, not a curated record. Lineage: Eukaryota; Metazoa; Chordata; Aves; Galliformes; Phasianidae.
UAUAUAUACUUCCAACUUUACUUCUGAAGCUGUUUGUGGAGUGCUUUCAUUUUUACAGAACUAUGUAGUCCAAAUGAGCUUUCACAAAACUGCCUCCAACUUCAAUAUAUCCCCUACUUCCGACAUGGGGAAAGCUUGGAUGUAGUUCCCACCUCUGUGACUGGGGCUGAGUGCCAAUUACACAGCACCCAGUGGCCUAUGACUCUCUUUUUCACUUCUAAGAGUCUCUCUUUUCUAGGUAAAUCUUCAAGACAGCUUGCAAACUAUUUGCUCUGGAGUUGAAAGUAACCUUGAAAACACUACUCCAUAGUAGUAACCGACAGGAUUAUCCUGUCCUUUCUCAAAAAUGGUGGUAUAUCAUUCCUAUCUUUCCUCCUCAAACUCUUCCCAGCAGGUUUCUGAAGACCUUUUUGAGGUAAGUGAUAUAGUUUUUUUCCUCUUACAUUUGAAUAUUUCAUCUCUAACUUCACAGGGAGACAACUAUCUCCUAACUGCGUGUAAAAAGCUAAGGGUGUUUUUUAUGUAUGUUCUAAAGCAUUUGAUGCAAUCUAUACAAUGAUUAUAUAUAAAUAAAGGCAAUUCUUUUUAAAAUCACCUCUAUACGGGAAGAUGCAUGCCUUUUAGAGGCAAGAGACUAAAAAGUCUGUACAUAAAUCAAGCAGGAUCCAAAGGUGAGAAAUUCAAGCUCUUUAAAGAGUAUUUGAAAUGCAAACAUUAACACAAGACAGGGGACAGAAGACACCCUGACAUCAGAAAAUGAGUCCUCGAAAUGAUUCCUCGAGUGAUGUAAAAGUAUGACUGAAAACACUGGGCCAAAUUCUGCUCUCACAGUUUGUGGAUUUAAAUUAACUCAGCAAUGUGAGUUCAUUAAAAGGGAGAUGGUGUCAGCCUUGCCAUGUUCAGGAAGGUUGCAAAUGGAUUUAAGUAUAUAAAUAAAAGAUGGCUUCUUUGACAUACACUACCAAACGGUAUUUCAAGGCAGUGCUGUCUCACAGCCAGUGUAUUGUAACAGGCUCAUAAAAGAAAACAAUGAAAUAAUUAGGUGCUGUGGCCUUGCAUCUUAUUUCUGGUGUGUGUAAUAUUAAAAAUAAUAAUUAUUAUUGUUACUAUAAUAAUUAUUGUUGUUUUAUUGUUACUAUUAUUGAUUCUUGCAGUUUUCUCAUGGCAUUCCUUAAAGCUUCAGCUACUGGAAUGAAGGGAUCAUUGGAAUUAUUUCAAGUUUGUUUGUGUUUAUGUGGUGUUCCAAUUUUCCUAGUUACAAAAAUAAACUCAAAAACAUGUCUAAAUGAAGGCACAUGGAAAAGGCAUCUAAUGUUACAUUUCUAUAUCAGGCAUGUUAUAAAGAAACAAAUUUCACUUAAAUGCCCACAGUGUCAGUAAUUAGAAUGAGCCUGGCAUUCUUUGUUACCCUGUGAAAUUACCUGCAAGGCCUUUUCAUAUUGUUUUUUGCCAUUGUUUUCAUGCUCAGUAGAGCAUUAAGAGUCAAUGACGGGCAGCUCUUGUGUUAGUCAGUCUGUGAGUCAUGGAUUAUUCUCCAUUCAUUGGCAAGCUAUGGGAAGCACCACAAGUUGUUUAUAGACAAAUACUUCCUAAAGACCUUUGUAAUGGAGAAUUCUCCUUUCUGCCUGCUGUCCAGUUCCUAUAAGGCCCAUCUUUUCCACAAAAAUAUAAAUGCCUUUUUUUUUUCUUUUCCCCUCAGUAACCUCUGUAAUAAACCUUCAGCAGAAGCUAUGGUUGAAGUAUGCUUCUAGUCCAAAGGCACUCAGUCCUCCAGCUUUGAGCAGUGCAGUGCCAUUUCCUCUCCAUUUGUUUCUAUGGAGCUGACUAUGUGUGCGGUCAUCCAUAAGGGUGCUGAGAUACCCUGGAGAGAGAAGGGCUGGCUGGAGCUAUUUUUCAUUAUUUUAUACUACACUUCAUAAUAAAUGAGAUCCAUAGCACGUGAACACUGGACUUGUAGCUCAUCAUAUCAGCAAGCAUGAGGAACCUUAUGUGCUAAAUAAAAUAAGUAAGCUUGAGAAAAAUUGUCUGGUGAGGCAGUAGAGUGUUCAGUGUUAAACUGUACAGAGCAACCUUUCUGACUGAGAAUGACGUUAAGACCUAUGGUAACUUCAGAACGGCUAGUUUUAGAGGUAAAGCAGUGUAUAAUUUGUACCUAUCUACGUUCACAGCCUUUCUUCUACAGUAAAAAAUGUACUGACUUAAAUCUCUGUGGUCUUACAGAGGUCUUUGGAGUAACAGAGAACAGCAAGCAACUUGUGAUCUACAAAGGAAAAAGGCAGGACAAGCAACAGGAUUGAACUUCUGCAAUGGUGAUGAUGAAAACGACCAGCUGAGGCAACAGGCCAGAGAUUCCUCCAGUACUGUUUCAUGGAGUAAUAGAAUAUCCUGAGUUUGAAAGGACCCACAAGAAUCCAGCUCCUGGAGGGGACUCUUUGAAGUAUAGCAGCUCCCAGCUAAGUGCUGAUUUCUUCAGAGAGAUGGAGCCCUUGAUGCCAUUUCUGAUUACCUCCAGGUGUGUUCUUCUACCAUGCACCAUGAGGCCUGGUCAGGAUGUUACCUUGAAGUAGACACAUGUUGCAGAAACCAAGAAUUAUAGAUGGGCUUGGUUUGGAAGGGACCUCAAAGAUCAUCUAGUUCCAACCCUCCUGCCACAGGUAGGGAUGCUGGCUGCCAGAUCAGGCACUACAUUUGGACAUUAGCUGAAUUCUGAGCCUGGUUCAGCACACCCACCCUCUGAGCAGAGCGGCACAAAGACAGACAAAAAGGAUCUUGUCAGCCUUUCCAUCAACCAGUCUUCCAGCUCUACGGACGCUAUCAGCUGACAAGUCUGGCCAGUACCCUCUGCCAAAAACACACGCACGCUCAACGUUCCUCAGGAGUUCCCCCCCACAUCCCACCCUGUGACAUACUUCUGUCAGAUUUCUUCUGAGCACUGUCCACACCUUCCAGAUAAUGAGUUUAACAUUUCAAGAACAGAAGCUCUCAAUCUGAGCAAGACGAGGGAAAGAUCUGCAGCCUUGAUUUGGGGAAGGUGCCAACCCACCCUGUGCUCUCUGAAACUCCUUUGGCAUCCUCCUGAUUUAAGGUUGAACCCUCUCCUGAGAAAGUCUGUCUGUACAGAAGGAGCAAGACAAGCACUCGGACACAAGUCCCAGCUUUGCAGCUGCAGUCUUAAAGUUUGCAGCUCUCCAAAUCUUACUCGGAUCAAGUUCAAGUGUGCCUUUCCUUCAAGGAUACAACCACGCGUGCAGCUAUCAUCUAAAUGCCAACAACACCACCUGGAAAUCCAUCUCAGAUGCCACUUCUUCUUCAAGCAGAUCUUCCCACCUGUCUCAAGCCAGAUGUUUUGAACAGUCAUGGAACUACCUGCAAAUAAUGCUGUGCUCCUGCUUCUCCAGUGUGUCUUCCUAGACCUGAUGUCAGCUUCUUGCUUGUGGAGACAAAGAAUGUCACCAUGAAUGUCCAUUGGCAAACUGGAUAAGAAAAGAGUGUCACAGUGCAGGACAACCUAGAAGAUGACAGGUAUUUCCAGGCAUAGCAAUGAUGAGAUCAAAUUCCCCUCAACCUGCCUUGUUUGCUGAUCUUUUAAUCAGAUUCAACUUCACUGCAGCUACAGCACAAGGUUCCCUGACAAUGUAUGACAGCAUGUGACAGAAAAAUAUUUUGAUUUUUUUUUUUUCUUUGACCAUUUGAUGUUAUUUCAGAUAUAUCUGAAGCCCUGGCAGCAUCUGCUAAAUCUACUGAACUGUUUUAGUGGAGGUUUUUAAAUGUGCAUAAUUGAACUGGAGGGUUUGGGGGUUGUGUUCUUUUGCGUGUAGGGGAAUCCAAACAGGAAAGCUGGGAAAUGAUCUAAACCCUUUGAGGUUAACAUGCCAUGAAAGUGCAUCAACAACUGAAGAGGACAUUAUUAAAAAGCAGCUAACCCAGCUCAAAAAGAACCACUGUGUGAAGCAAGAGCCUGCAGAACAACACCCAGGGCUGUUUGUGAUCCCACUGGGAUAUGUAUUUCAUCCCCUGCCUUCAUAUCUCCAGAUUUCCUCUGAACUGCUUCUGAGACGAGUUCUCGAAAAAGAAAAACACCAGCAACUACUGAAUGCCUCUUAUCAACCUUUUCCCCGCAAUCUGUUUCGUAUUCGUCUCACACCCUUGUUCUCGCAGUGUCUUGAGGAAAUGCUCGGAUCAAAGAUAAGAGAGAACAAGGAAAGGAAUGAAGCAAGAGGCAAACAACAAAACAAAACCACCACCACCACAGCUCUCCCCCCACCCCCUUAAACUUUUUGACUAAACUUCUCUGCGAAUGGUGCGCAUGAUUACAGCACUGUUAAAACUGCCUUCUUCUUCGCCAGUGCUUAAUUCCUGCUUUUAAAAUCAGGCUCCCUUUGAUCUUGAGGAUUGAAAUGAUCUGGAAAUGAAACAGCCAUUGCUUUGCAGAAAAUCUGGAUAGGGUCCCAGGCAUGGCUUUCACCUGGAAGGAUUCCAAAAUAGGAUGAAAUCUCUCCGGUUUCAGAACAAAUUGCAAGGUUUUUCUCUAUGUCUAGUCCAAGCGUGGAACUCCAGCCCUGACGUUUGCUAGUUCCCAAAGUGCAGAUGUAAUAACCUCGAAGGUGAACCGUGAGCCCUUUUCCUCCAUUUUCUCCCCUCUGCCUCUCCUUCAAGGAUCAAAUGUUUGGAGAAUUUUAUUAAAACAAAGGCUUAAAUUUCUGAGCAAACUUAAGUUGAGGAGACAGUUACUUAUAAACUGGGCUAGGUUUGGCCACAGGAGGGUUGGGCAGGACAGAGGACCAGGAGCAUCUGUAACAUCUGGAUCUUGUUGCAUGCACAGAAAUAUCUGCCUGGCUUUGCACAACCUAAUCCCAGAGCCAAAAGGGCUGAGAAAUGUGGUUCAGAGACACUGAAGCCGGCUUUGCCCUACCAAAUAAGUCCCACUGAGAAAGAAUCAUAGAACCACAGGCAUUAAAGCUGGGAAGAACAAUAAGAUCAUCUAGUCCAACCAUCAGCCCAUGACUGUGACUGCUCCAGACCACAUCUCUCAGUGCCACAUCCCCACGGUUCUUGAAUUCCUUCAGGGACAGUGACUCUACCACCUCCCUGGGCAGCCUGUGCCAAUGCAUCAUCGCUCUUUCUGAGACAUUGUUCCAACCUGAGAACAGCUGUUGAUCAGCACUUGGAGGAAACUGCACCCACCCUGGCAGACGUUUGCAGAGAAUUAGAGACUAAAGUUGCAUUCCAGCUGCUCCUGCUGUUUUCUGUUCCAAGCAGCCCUAAACAUCGACUGCAGGCAUGGAUAUUACCGAUGUAUUGCAUUGAAUGUGCUUCAGAUUAAUUUGGCUCAUUCGUGAAGCUCUAUGCACUGCACAUUCCCUGACUGAAACCAAAAAAUAGACCAGCAAAGCAAACUAAUUGAAACAUGGUACUCUGCAUCUCACUUCAGCACCAUCGCUCCACUCUAGAGCUGCACAGUUCAGAGUUAAUAGACUGCCGUGUCAGGGAUGCCACUCACCGGGGUGAAACGCAACUCAAUGGUCUGUGAGAACAUACAUGCAAUACAGAGGACCUAAGAAUGUUUUUCAUGGAUACCAAAGAGGAGUCAGAUGCAUGGAUACCAAAGAGGAGUCAUGGAUACCAAAGUAAUAUUGUACUGCUGCCUGGAGUCCGUGGCCCGCUGCACUGGCAUUUUCACUGAAGACUUAUUACUUCUGCAGACAUCUUCAAGGGAGUGAAUUUAAGGAAGGUAAUAUGGAGACAUGGUUAGGUUUUAUACCCUCUGCUCAUCAGGAUAAUGUAUAGAGACUUGCUGAACUGAGAUAUGAAGAUGGCCUAAUCAUCAAAUAUGGAUUCAGGUCUCCCCUGCUGAGCAGGACAGACAGACGGACUACGCAAGGCCCAACCCCUGUCCUUCCCGCAAACAGAGGCUGGAGAAACCACACGUCCCCUUUCCAGAAAGGCAUCCACUCUUGAUCUGAAGACUUCAAGAGGUGGAGAACCCACCACAUCUGCUAGUAGCCUGGGUCAUUCAGCUUUAGCAGAGCACCUUCUGAGGAGAUUUCACUCUGCUGAUGUGCUGUUCUGACACAGCAUGUACUAUAAUGGAAAGGGCUUUUCCUGCUACAAUGCGAACAGAAGCUGGUCUGCAGCCAUCUGGGGUCCAGGACUCUACCUGUGGCACAAUCUAAAAGAGAUGGGGAACAUUUCAGCAUCCUUUCUCCCUUCAAUUUUGAUGGAAGACAGAACUCAGAUGCAGCAGGAUGAAGCAAUUCAUAGGCAACCAGGAAGGAGGCAGACAGCCCAACUGUCUUCCCAUGAUACUGUUAAUAUGGACUGCACAUCUAAUUGCAAAAACAGAGAAUGAGGAAUUGCGGGCAGGUUUUUUUCUUUGCUUUUUCUUUUUGCUUCCCCCUCGGCCCCCCAAAUAUUCUGAGACAUGAAUACAGGAAAGUGGAGGGAGAGAGGGAAAUAGGAAACAUAAGGAAAACUAUUUUAUUCGAUUCACUGAUAUUUUGGGCCCUAAAUUUCCUAUGGAUUUAUGCAAAGACUUCCAGACAGGCAAAGAGGCUUUAAGCCCUCACCUCAAAUUAAUACUCAGUACAAAUUACUCUCAGAGGCUUUGCACAUUUCCCAGCAAGGUGCUUCAAAAAAGAAAAACAAAAACCCGCAAACACAUGACUCGGAAACUGAUUUUCUUUUGCUCUAUCAUCUUAAGUUAGGAUUGUUUGGUUGGAAAACUUAGAUAUGUGUAUGCAAGUUUUUCUCCAAUUUCCACCACGCUAUUGCAUUCAAAAACAUUUCAUUAGACACACAAUAUGUUGGAGGUUCUAAGGGGAAAAAAAAAAAAGAUUUUCAAGGCCUUUAGAGGGAGUCCUAUACAAAGUCCAAGUGUGAAGCUCUUGAAGGCUUUCUUGUCCCCUUAUUGAGUGUUAAUGGGAUUUGUAUUGAUUCAUUGAUGGGAGAUUACAUUCCUUAGUGUCUCUGUCAUUAAUACACAUUGGUAAAAUGUAUGAUGUGUAGGAGGUCAAUAUCCAUAUUAUUUUUUCCUAAUUUGGUUUCUAGUAGUUGGAAAAGUGGCUCUGAGACAGCAGCCAACUGCAGCAGGGGCUGUUAAAGGAGGUCUUAUUUACCAGCAGCCAAAAGGAUAUCUUCAAACACUGAUUUUCAUGCACAGAUUGGCUCCACUUCUUCCUAUAUAUACAGUACCAGAAUGAUAAAAAAAAAAAAAAAAAAAAUUCAAAUAUUUAUACAUAUGGCUAAUUAGAACACCUGGCAUAGCAGGCAAGGAAGCUAAUAGGAAAGAGAUGGGGUGGAUGUGGAACUUGCAGUGUGUACUGCAUCCUAAACUGCUUGUUUUUUUUACUGACGUCUCUUCAGUGAGACUUGCUCCAUUGCAGAAACGUGCUAGAUCUACUGCCCUUGAAAACAGGUCACCACUUGUAUGGGAACUGCUGAGCACCUGGGGAAAGAACCUGGUCAGCCCUGGGAGCAAAGGUGAAGGAAAUUGGUUCCAGCUGUGGAACCAGGAGUGAAGCCUGGCUGCACCUCUCUUAGACCUCACUUAAGGGCUGACUGCCACUGAGAAAGGGUCUCUUUUCUGGAGGUUUCUCCUUGGUGAAGCUUUGCCCUGUCAAGCUCCAGAUACAGUACAGCCUGAAUUGCUUCUCUGAGUUACAACGUCAGCAACAGUUAACUAAGACCUCACUCACUGUGGAGAUGAUCACAAGUGCGAUAAGGAAAGGAAAGAGAGAUGAAGCCAGUGAACAGUAUUUACCUGGAUAAAU